GUUGGGCAUCAUUGAUUGCCUCAACUCCCUACUUACUACACUUACUGAUAAUUUUGUGUGUGAUGGAUAUAUUUAUGCUCCAUUUAAUGAUAUACAAGUGAUGUAUUCUUUCAAAUUUAUAACCAUGUUUUUUUUCUAUGGUCAUUUCAGGUUCCUCCAUUUCUUGUUCAGAAGAUAUUUACUCCAACAUUUUGGGGCAACUUUUUAGAUGGCGAUUGGGAUGUCUUGAACCUCGAACAAAAUCUUUGUUUAUUUAUUUUACUAAUUUUCCCCAAACAUAUGACUUUCAGUCUUCUUCUAUCCAGGGAGUGUUGUACUUUGAGCUACGGCGAGUAAGUCAAAUCUGGACUGGCUGAGCUAGAUUCGGUGCUGUCAAGCAAAAGAAGAGUAUUCAGGCCUGGGAGGGCUCGAAGAGAGUGGGGAAGACGAUGAAUCAUAUAGUAGGAACAAAGUCAAUCGACUGGUCCAGGACAAAGAACAUAUGUGUGUGCGCGCUUGCUCGCGCAUAUGUCUGUGCAUAUGAUUCUUGAUUUUUGGUAGAGCUGAUGGAGUGUGCAUUGUGUAACCGUCCCAUAUCUUGGCGUGGCGAACCCAGAUGGCUGUGAUUUUGGGGUAUUUUAUAUUUCCCCAAUCGCAUGCAAUCGGUGAUUCUACAGUCAUGGGCGUGGUCGAAUGUCUAUUUGCCAGCUUGAACAACAGAUCUAAGCCUCAUUUCCUCUAAUUCUCUAUAUCUUAUUUGCUAGGGUUUGCCUUUGCUGAUGAGAAACGUCGACCGCAAUACUUCUAGAAUACUCCAGAUUGCUCAUGGUCCAAGUGGCAAAGUUGAAACUGGGGAAAUGCAGAUCAUAUAAGAGCUGAUGUCGAUAAGCAUUCCACCGGACCAACAAAUGUUGAUCUUCGCUGGGAAACAGUUUGAGGAUAGUAGGACUCUUGCUGAUUACGACAUACAGAAGGAGUCCACUCUUCAUCUUGUCCUAUUUUUGGAGAGGAGAAUCAAUGGAAGUGCAAACAAGAUUUUGCAGACUUUGUUAGGGUAUUGGAUCCGAUAGACGGCACAAAACUUUUAUUAUUGGGAAACCCUUGUUUGGAACACUAAUUGCUUUACCCCACAAGGGUAAACAGGUUCUUGGAAUUAUUGGUAAGAAAAACCUACCUCGAGUUGACAGGAUAUAUAUCACAUUAUUGUUCACAACUCUUGAAAGCCUACAUUUUUGGGGUCUCUUCGAGUACACUACUGGCCCACAUUUAUUUAGCGGGGAUGCUGAGGUGGCGUUUGCUCGAGUAAGAAAUAAGUUAUGUGAUGCGAUCCCAAUCACAUCAAGCUAUCAAAGAUUUCCAAUGUUUCCAGAAUAUUAAUUACAUUGUGGGCUGAAACUUUUCAAGAAGCAUGAACUGGGCUAAUUCAACAAACGGGUGAGAUGUCAAACGUUCGGGAAGCCCAGCUUGAGUCUAAAUACAACUGACAAGCCCAUUCAUAUUUAUAAUAAGAGCAAAUCAAAUUAGGGAGGUUUUAAUGACAAUGAUAUCGACCUUCA
This is a non-coding RNA of Erythranthe guttata (spotted monkey flower), 1535 nucleotides long. NCBI's taxonomy places the organism in Eukaryota, Viridiplantae, Streptophyta, Magnoliopsida, Lamiales, Phrymaceae. The record is from RefSeq and is a predicted model, not a curated record.